AUAUUAAAUGCCAGCCAGCCACGUGAGUUGGCCAAACCAAAACGAUGUCAAUAACCCAGAAGUUCAGAUCAAAACCUGAAGACGAGAAGAAAGAAACACUCUCGAUAUUGUGUGGCCAUCAUUACAUAUUCACAUCUCAUUAGAUAAUUACAAAAGGCUGGCAAACACAUAGUGAAAUUUGUGAAUGGAUCUGACCCAGUUUACGAUCUUGCCACCAAACAGUACCACAGCUUAAAAUAAGCACAAAGAACGGUUACCUUCUAAUAUGAAACUAAUUUGAGCUGGUAGCUAGAAGAGGAAGAGUCGGGGCUACUAAUCCGAAAUAUGGAUCGAGAUUGGUGUAUUCAUUGAAACUUAUUGGAGAAAGAACUCUCGUCCAAACAAGGUUGAUGACAAA
This is a long non-coding RNA of Drosophila grimshawi, 397 nucleotides long. RefSeq lists it as uncharacterized. The record is from RefSeq and is a predicted model, not a curated record. The transcript is spliced from 3 exons. NCBI's taxonomy places the organism in Eukaryota, Metazoa, Arthropoda, Insecta, Diptera, Drosophilidae.